AACGUAGGUGGCAAGCGUUAUCCGGAAUUACUGGGCGUAAAGGGUGUGCAGGCGGGGUGGCAAGUGGUGUAUGAAAUAUCCCAGCUUAACUGGGAGGGGUUAUGCCAGACUGCUACUCUAGAGGACGAGAGAGGGGCGUGGAAUUCCGGGUGUAGUGGUGAAAUGCGUAGAGAUCCGGAGGAACCCCAGAGGCGAAGGCGACGCCCUGGCUCACAACUGACGCUCAUACACGACAGCAUGGGGAGCGAACGGG
Molecule: ribosomal RNA, 253 nt
Filed under: uncultured bacterium
Lineage: Bacteria
Description: partial 16S ribosomal RNA
Rfam family: Bacterial small subunit ribosomal RNA
Source: RNAcentral